Molecule: ribosomal RNA, 301 nt
Filed under: uncultured bacterium
Lineage: Bacteria
Description: partial 16S ribosomal RNA
Rfam family: Bacterial small subunit ribosomal RNA
Source: RNAcentral
CAGUAGCCGCGGUAAUACCGAGGGUGCGAGCGUUAAUCGGAUUUACUGGGCGUAAAGCGUGCGUAGGCGGCUUCUUAAGUCGGAUGUGAAAUCCCUGAGCUUAACUUAGGAAUUGCAUUCGAUACUGGGAAGCUAGAGUAUGGGAGAGGAUGGUAGAAUUCCAGGUGUAGCGGUGAAAUGCGUAGAGAUCUGGAGGAAUACCGAUGGCGAAGGCAGCCAUCUGGCCUAAUACUGACGCUGAGGUACGAAAGCAUGGGGAGCAAACAGGAUUAGAUACCCCCGUAGUCCCUGUCUCUUAUAA